Scomber japonicus (chub mackerel) is the source of this 3014-nucleotide long non-coding RNA. RefSeq lists it as uncharacterized. The transcript has 3 exons. The record is from RefSeq and is a predicted model, not a curated record. Lineage: Eukaryota; Metazoa; Chordata; Actinopteri; Scombriformes; Scombridae.
GGACACAUGGGACAGCACCAAACUAAAAUGCACCACGGAUCACCUCAUGAACCUGCAGCUCCGGGACCCACUACUGGACUUUUACUGUUUGGAAAGACUCAUAGACAAAGACAUGCUGGUGCAAGAAGGAAUGAGCAGAGGAAAGAGAGUAGCUGGCGGAGGGGAGAGCUGGAGACUUCCAACUGGGUGUGAAUGAAUAAAGAAGGGAAAAGGAUCCACUUAAGAAGCUUGAGGUCGUGCAUCCUCCAGAUCACGUUAACAGCCAUCCUUCACCAGUAAAACCCUCUGUCCUCCAGAGCUGUGGAGUGUGACAAUGGUGUUUGUGUCCUGUGUAUCAAACGCCAUUAUCACACUAAAUAGCUACAGUGUGAAAAGGACCUCAGUGUACUCCACCGUUUCCUGGUAUGCCUGUUUUCCUCUUAUGCCAUUUAUUUGUUUGGUCACUCCUAUAUAGUCUUUAAAUGUUUGCUUUUUUUGUAGAUUCGUAACAGUUUCUUCUUACAUAUUGUAAAGUCUGAAAAUGUUUCCCCACAUGUGAGUCUUAUCUAUAGCCUGCAACAUUUUACACCACAUGGGUGGGGCAGGGAUAAAAAUAGACAUAUGCAAGGUGUUGAUUCAUCAUACAUGAUGUUGAGCCUCUGAGUGUGACCCACUUACCUUUGCAUUUGGGGCGCUAAUUUGCUGCUGGACACCUUCUCCUGUAAGUAAGUACAGAUAAGAAUAGAUGUCCCAUUUGUUUUCAUGUUGCUGCCAUUUAUUGUGUUGUCAAUUCAAACUUUCUAUAAAGUGAUCAUCUAAUUAAAAUGAUUGGUGAUGCUGUAUUUUAUGACUGCCUACAUCUUUGCAAAUGACAUAAAUAAACAGUGCUUGUUUUUUGUCUGCUGCUGUGGAGUGAACUUUUGCACUUAAGCCAUUCUAGUCCUGAAAUUCAAAUAAUGUACACAUGAUGUUCAUAUGCCAUAAAUCCCCCCCAGCAAAUAUAUUUGCAUGCACACACAGAGCACGAUGCAUUAUACCAUUCUUCAAACCCAUAGGCCAGAGGUACCCUUGCAGGAAAUGUUGAAUUAAUCCCAUGAAAGAGAAUCCAGGAAGCAUUUUAAACUAGCAACAUCUCUUUAAGAUCUACUGUUAGCUCACACACUGGCCUCAACCUGAGAGCCAUGUCAGCAAUUCGGGUCAGUGAGAGUGGAACAUAUUAUAUAGAGACAGUUUGAGAGUACAGUGGAACAGCUGGCAUACUAUUGAGAACAUUUAGACUGUGUGUGCUGUAUAAAGAUGCUCUGGAUGUCAGAGUAUGAUUAUUGGGAUUAGUUUUACAUGUCCUACAUUGACUAUUGACUGCAUUGGUAUGAGCUAUAUUGUACCAGUUUAGUGUAGAUGCUUAAAAUGCUGCCACACAUUUGAACUUAAUUCAACGAGCAGAAAUAAUGAAAUGACAAGUCAAUCAAUCUCACGUCACACGUCACAUGAGCUUAAUGUGUACAAAAUGUCUUUGUGCUCUUUCCAAAAUAUAAACAUGAGCUCAUUCUAAAAUGUAACAGAAUUCAUCAAAUAUGUUUGCAGCUUCGUAGCCAAACACAUAAAAAUGUAACCAUUCAUUCAACUGAUCUCAAAACAUUAUGUGUCUUCUACCACGUGUAUUUUGUCAUUCAACCUACCUCAUAGACAUUUCCUCUAAUCAAUUAAUAAACAAGUUCAUUAAUUUAAUGAACUUAAUCAUUUGAAAACAUCACCGACGUAGAAAAAUAAAGAAAAAUACUGUAAAGAAAAUGAAUUGCUCCUCAUCCAUCGACAAAGCAAUCUAAGACAUCACAGUUCAAUACUGUAGACAAACUGUAUCAUACAUAAUUUUCAAGUGUUCGUUAAAAUUGUCACAGUUUUUCCAAAACUUGCAACAGAAAAGUUCCCAUAUUAAAAAAACAGCACAUAAAAUUUCAUACAGAAACCAUCCAUGGUGAAAUCUUCAUUAAAUAAAAGGUAUUACCCUCUUAUGAGAACAACAGCUGCUGGUUGUGUAACAAGCACUUCCUUCAGAGUCAAUGUAUCUCCUGCAUCUGGCCUCAGUGACUCCAAUGUUGUUAUCACUUUUUGAUACUGCAAAUCGAGAUCCAGAUGUGAGUGAAGCACAUCUCCAAAUCAGCUUAUUCUCACCAUUUCAAUUAUUACACCCUUAGUCCAAGAUUCCCCUCUUAUUAUGACUUGCUCUUCAACGUUGGCCCAAAAGUUUUCUUUUUGGGUACAGCAGAAGGUUGGGGUUUGGGUUUGGGAGCAGUUCCAGGCUUUUUGGGUUUGGGCUGUAGAGAUUUGAGGCCCAGGAUCUCACAGAAUGUGUUGCACUGGUGCAAGGCUUUGAACUGGUCAAUAAAGGAGGUGGCACAAUUUCCUUUGAAGCCCUUAUAUCUAAAAAAAUAAAAAUACAUUACACAAUAAUUAGCGUGAAUCAGUUAAUUGAAUCCAUCAUUGGUCUUGUUCUCAAACAAAAUAACUCACCCUUUCUUGCAUGUGGCUAUUCCCACAUCAGUAAGCCUCAUGCCCACUCCUGAAAACCACAAAAAUCAGUUUGAUAUUUGCAGAUUAAAACAAAUUAAACUCAUGUAUUUGCAUUUUAUGAAAUGUCUUCUGUUUCCCUGACCUUGCAUGUCAGUGACCAGCAGGUUACCCUCAGUCUUAUGGUACACCCAGUGCUGGAAAGCACAACAUUUCUGACCAGCCUCCGAGUCACGUCUCUUCAGAUUGAUCUCUUUGCCAUCCUUGACCGAAUACUUGACAAAGUCACCGAUCAGCUCCUCCUCCAACGUGGCAUACGGGAUGUCAUUGGAUGGACGGUAAACCAGGUUUCAACAGACUGGGCCGCGACAGUGUACGCCUUGAUGUACUCUCUUGCUGUGUUCUGCACUUGACACUCCUACACAGCAAGAAGUAAAUUACAGUUGAUAUAUUUUCUAUUUUCUCUAUUUUCUCUAUGCAUGAUGAUCAUGACACUAAAGAUAAAAUAAUAAAAUAUAUCUUGUGAA